GACGAACGCUGGCGGCGUGCUUAACACAUGCAAGUCGAAGCGGUAACGGCCCUUUCGGGGGGUACACGAGCGGCGAACGGGUGAGUAACACGUGGGUGACCUGCCCUCAGCUCGUGGGAUAAGCCUGGGAAACCGGGUCUAAUACUGGAUAUGACUCCAUGACGCAUGUUGUGGGGUAGGAAAGCCUUGUGCGGCUGAGGAUGGGCCCGCGGCCUAUCAGCUUGUU
Molecule: ribosomal RNA, 226 nt
Filed under: uncultured bacterium
Lineage: Bacteria
Description: partial 16S ribosomal RNA
Rfam family: Bacterial small subunit ribosomal RNA
Source: RNAcentral